Molecule: ribosomal RNA, 497 nt
Filed under: uncultured bacterium
Lineage: Bacteria
Description: partial 16S ribosomal RNA
Rfam family: Bacterial small subunit ribosomal RNA
Source: RNAcentral
GAUGAACGCUGGCGGCGUGCCUAAUACAUGCAAGUCGAGCGAACGGACGAGAAGCUUUCUUCUCUGAUGUUAGCGGCGGACGGGUGAGUAACACGUGGAUAACCUACCUAUAAGACUGGGAUAACUUCGUGAAACCGGAGCUAAUACCGGAUAAUAUUUUGAACCGCAUGGUUCAAAAGUGAAAGACGGUCUUGCUGUCACUUAUAGAUGGAUCCGCGCUGCAUUAGCUAGUUGGUAAGGUAACGGCUUACCAAGGCAACGAUGCAUAGCCGACCUGAGAGGGUGAUCGGCCACACUGGAACUGAGACACGGUCCAAACUCCUACGGGAGGCAGCAGUAGGGAAUCUUCCGCAAUGGGCGAAAGCCUGACGGAGCAACGCCGCGUGAGUGAUGAAGGUCUUCGGAUCGUAAAACUCUGUUAUUAGGGAAGAACAUAUGUGUAAGUAACUGUGCACAUCUUGACGGUACCUAAUCAGAAAGCCACGGAUAACUACGUG